ACACUCCUGCGGGAGGCAGCAGUGGGGAAUAUUGCACAAUGGGCGCAAGCCUGAUGCAGCCAUGCCGCGUGUGUGAAGAAGGCCUUCGGGUUGUAAAGCACUUUCAGCGGGGAGGAAGGCGAUACGGUUAAUAACCGUGUUGAUUGACGUUACCCGCAGAAGAAGCACCGGCUAACUCCGUGCCAGCAGCCGCGGUAAUACGGAGGGUGCAAGCGUUAAUCGGAAUUACUGGGCGUAAAGCGCACGCAGGCGGUCUGUCAAGUCGGAUGUGAAAUCCCCGGGCUCAACCUGGGAACUGCAUUCGAAACUGGCAGGCUUGAGUCUUGUAGAGGGGGGUAGAAUUCCAGGUGUAGCGGUGAAAUGCAUAGAGAUCUGGAGGAAUACCGGUGGCGAAGGCGGCCCCCUGGACAAAGACUGACGCUCAGGUGCGAAAGCGUGGGGAGCAAACAGGAUUAGAUACCCGAGUAGUCCCAUG
This 475-nucleotide ribosomal RNA is filed under the name uncultured organism. Its description in RNAcentral is "partial 16S ribosomal RNA". It matches the Rfam family "Bacterial small subunit ribosomal RNA", at positions 333 to 799 of the family's 1533-position model. The record is from RNAcentral.